RNAcentral lists this transfer RNA (87 nucleotides) under Paramicrobacterium agarici. RNAcentral describes it as "Microbacterium sp. CC-SBCK-209 tRNA". It matches the Rfam family "tRNA". From Rfam's summary of the family: Transfer RNA (tRNA) molecules are approximately 80 nucleotides in length. Their secondary structure includes four short double-helical elements and three loops (D, anti-codon, and T loops). Lineage: Bacteria; Bacillati; Actinomycetota; Actinomycetes; Micrococcales; Microbacteriaceae. The record is from Rfam by way of RNAcentral.
GCGCGGGUGGCGGAAUUGGUAGACGCGCUAGCUUGAGGUGCUAGUGCCCACAUAUCGGGCGUGGGGGUUCAAGUCCCCCCUCGCGCA